This 430-nucleotide ribosomal RNA is filed under the name uncultured bacterium. RNAcentral describes it as "bacterial SSU rRNA". It matches the Rfam family "Bacterial small subunit ribosomal RNA", at positions 30 to 460 of the family's 1533-position model. The record is from RNAcentral.
AUUGAACGCUGGCGGCAGGCCUAACACAUGCAAGUCGAGCGGUAGAGAGGUGCUUGCAUCUCUUGAGAGCGGCGGACGGGUGAGUAAUGCCUAGGAAUCUGCCUAGUGGUGGGGGAUAACGUUCGGAAACGGACGCUAAUACCGCAUACGUCCUACGGGAGAAAGCGGGGGAUCUUCGGACCUCGCGCCAUUAGAUGAGCCUAGGUCGGAUUAGCUAGUUGGUGAGGUAAUGGCUCACCAAGGCGACGAUCCGUAACUGGUCUGAGAGGAUGAUCAGUCACACUGGAACUGAGACACGGUCCAGACUCCUACGGGAGGCAGCAGUGGGGAAUAUUGGACAAUGGGCGAAAGCCUGAUCCAGCCAUGCCGCGUGUGUGAAGAAGGUCUUCGGAUUGUAAAGCACUUUAAGUUGGGAGGAAGGGUAGUAACC